AUCCUUCCGCAGGUUCACCUACGGAA
Molecule: non-coding RNA, 26 nt
Filed under: Drosophila melanogaster (fruit fly)
Lineage: Eukaryota; Metazoa; Arthropoda; Insecta; Diptera; Drosophilidae
Also listed under: 1 other name
Source: RNAcentral